AUAUUAGAAAGGUCUCUCUUGCUCUCUCUGUACUUGAAUGGGAAUGAAAUAUUAGAAAAAGCUCUCUCUCUCUCUCUCUCUCUCUCUCUCUCUGUCAGUACCGGAAAGGGUAUUAGAAAGGGUUUUCCCUCUCAGUAAAUAUCACUGAAGAUAAUGGAAUUCAGUGGUUCUAGAAUUAACGUAAAGACAGCAAACCAUAAUGAUUAACAAUAAUAAUGUGUCAAGGCCUAACUGCCUUAGUACAAUAAACUUGCCGGUAAAUAGUUACUUUUAACGCCAACCCGUUCCAGUCCCAACCAACCAAUAGGAGAACCCCUUUUAAAAACUUCCCACCCACCAACCAAUGGGAGAACCCCUGCUAUAAACCUCCCACCCACCAGCCAAUGGGAGAAGACUUUAGAAAAUGGAGUUUCCAAUGUGGCCAGGGUGGGGGGUCGCCGAUUGGCCAAGAGGAAAUUUAGGAUGACUGCUGUAGCCUUGAGCCUUCAGUUCACCAGUUCUAAGACGGCAGCCAUUAUCUGUGUUUCGGCACAGACAAUGUUUUGAUAACGUGUGUUUUCAAGUAGAUAAUUUUUAAUAUAUCUCAUGAUGGCGUAGACCUUCCACGAAACAUUUCUUGAACUGGAUACAAUAAGCACGAGACUUCAUGCUAAGACUUGAAACGGAAAUCUCUAGCUUCAGAAAUUAGGGCCUUUGGAAUGAUCAACAUAAGGAAAUGGAGAUUGAUAGAUAGAUAGAGAGAAGUUGAGUAGUAUACUCAGUCCAGAGCCAGCGAGCGAGCCCAGAAAGAGAGAGCAUAGAAGACCUCUGCUGAGGAGUCCAGUCCAGAGACAGCUAAGCCGAGCAAAGCAGAACGGAGAAGUCUGUCCAAAAAGAACAGAACAGAGAAGGGUCAAGCUGACGUCAUCCCAGAGAAGAAUGAACAGAGUUGAGAGAGCAGAGCAUAAAGCUUUACCGUGAAGUCAGUCCAGAGAAAGGACGGAUUACCGAGAAGCCAGUCCAGAGCAAGAGAAAGUAGAGGAGAUUACCGAGAAGUCAGUCCAGAGGAAGCAGAGGAGAUUACAAUGAAGUCAGUCCAGAGAAAGGAGGGAUUACCGAGAAAAAAGUCCAGAGCAAGAGGAAGCCUAGGACUUUACAAUGAAGAUAGUUCAGAGAAAGAAGAGGAGAUUACAAUGAAGUCAGUCCAGAGAAAGGAGGGAUUACCGAGAAAGAAGUCAAGAGGAAGCCUAGGACUUUACAAUGAAGACAGUUCAGAGAAAGAAGAGGAGAUUACAAUGAAGUCAGUCCAGAGAAAGCAGAGGAGAUUACAAUGAAGUCAGUCCAGAGAAAGAAGUCAAGAGGAAGC
Molecule: long non-coding RNA, 1345 nt
Organism: Macrobrachium nipponense
Lineage: Eukaryota; Metazoa; Arthropoda; Malacostraca; Decapoda; Palaemonidae
Exons: 3
Source: RefSeq, a predicted model, not a curated record